Molecule: ribosomal RNA, 450 nt
Filed under: uncultured bacterium
Lineage: Bacteria
Description: partial 16S ribosomal RNA
Rfam family: Bacterial small subunit ribosomal RNA
Source: RNAcentral
GUCGAGAAUAAUUCACAAUGGACGAAAGUCUGAUGGUGCAACGCCGCGUGGAGGAUGAAGGUCUUCGGAUUGUAAACUCCUGUCAUCGGGGAGUAAGACCUGGCGGUAAAUAGCCGACAGGGUUGAUAGUACCCGAAGAGGAAGGGACGGCUAACUUCGUGCCAGCAGCCGCGGUAAUACGAAGGUCCCAAGCGUUGUUCGGAAUCACUGGGCGUAAAGGGAGCGUAGGCGGCGUGGUAAGUCAGAUGUGAAAUCCCGGGGCUCAACCACGGAACUGCAUCCGAUACUGCCAUGCUUGAGGGUUGGAGAGGUAGCUGGAAUUCUCGGUGUAGCAGUGAAAUGCGUGGAUAUCGAGAGGAACACUCGUGGCGAAGGCGAGCUACUGGACAACAUCUGACGCUGAGGCUCGAAGGCCAGGGGAGCAAAAGGGAUUAGAUACCCUAGUAGUUC